GGCAUGGUGGCUCAGUGGUUCGAGCGCCCGCCUCAUGAACGGGAGGUCGUGGGUUCUAACCCGGCCGAGUCA
RNAcentral lists this transfer RNA (72 nucleotides) under Strongylocentrotus purpuratus (purple sea urchin). It matches the Rfam family "tRNA". Rfam says of the family: Transfer RNA (tRNA) molecules are approximately 80 nucleotides in length. The record is from Rfam by way of RNAcentral. Lineage: Eukaryota; Metazoa; Echinodermata; Echinoidea; Camarodonta; Strongylocentrotidae.